GGAACCGAGGCUGGAGAGCUAGCUCGGGUCUGAGGUGGGGUGAGCAGGCGGCGGGAGGAAACCAAAGGCGGCGGCUGGCUGAGCCUGCAGCUCGCCGCUGAUUUACCCAGGACCACGCUCCGGAGGGGUCGUAAGCAGUUUAGCACAAGUCCGUCAUCCGCUAGUCCUGAAAGCGAUGGGCAGUGGGGUCAGGGGCAGUGGGAGGGAAUCCACCCGGCUGACGUCCUGCGGGUUCUCCGGCUCCCGGGGGCUCGGCGGCGGGCGGGGCCCUCAGAGCAGGCCACAGGGCUGUGAGCUGUGAGGGGCGUUGGGGGUCCAAGCUGACGCCCGGAGCGACCGGGAUCGCCAAGUCACGCCCCACGUGGCCUGGAGGCUUUUUCCUGGUCCUCCCAAUCCCUCAGCCAAAGGCUCUCAUUAUGUGGAGAAAGGAAGUCACUAUUUGGGAGAACUGACUGUCCCCAGGGCACGUCCCAGAAGGGGGCACAUCCUUCUGAGGAAGCGCAGGAGAUUCACAGGCAGCCUCUAUGCGUGCACCUCCAUUCAGGAUGUGCCAGGACGGCAGACCACGGCUCACGAUGCUGGCAGGACCAACAGCCGGGCACCUGGGCCUGGGGACACCGGAGGGACACUGGCCGCACACGCGGGCUGCAGAGAUGGUGACCACAGGCAGUGCAGCCGCUGGGUGUUGGCCUGUGAGGCCAUCUGUGAGGGUCUGUGGAGGCCAGCAAGGGUUUUUCACAGCUGAGAGGCGCAUAGGGACCCGAGAUGGCAGGAGCUGGCCUCACCAGCUGCCCAGAUGUGAGCUGGCUCUCCCAGGCUGGAGGAGCUGCCCCAGGGUGCUCAGAGAGCCAGGCACUUAUUUCACUCCCUGACCCAAACCCCCAGUGGGAGGUCAGUGGGUGCCACUAAGUCCUCCCCAACCCCAUCGGGCGGCAGCAUACAAAAACCUGGGUUCACAUCCAGCUUGGCCGCUCACUGUCAUGACAAGUGGACAGAUGCCCUGGGCCUCAGUUGACCCAUCUGCCCCAGACGCAGCUGCAUCCUGGAGUCCUUCUGAGAAAUGUGGGACCUGCCCCAGCUCCAGCCCAGGCGAGGGGCACCAGCCAGCUCCAGAGCUGCCUACCUUCCCUGACAGGUGCACAGGUCAGCGCCAGGCCAAUCCCAGAGCGAGAACACCUGUGCUGGACUGAGCUGGAGCAGCAGGGUGGCCUGCACAGGGGCAGAGAGGGAGGCGUUGGAUGGAGCCACCCCACGACUCCCCUGUGAAGGUCUGCACGUCACUCAGAAAGUUGAAGCAAAUCAAGCAGGGUUGGAGCCCACAGUUCACAGCCAGCUGCACAGGGGAUGCGCCAAGCACAGUUUCCUAUGACAAGUGGAAACCUGUGCACUGCAGAUGAACCGGGUCCUGGAAGGUGCAGGGACCAGGCAGCAUCUCAUCUCAGGACAUCAAGGGCUGUCCCCAACCAGCAGAUUUCCCAUAAAAACGUGCUGAACUGGGGACAAAGCUGAUUCUACAGAGCCGAGAAGCCAGACCUUCCCCGGGGAUUCCCGAGGGGGUCCCAGCCACCCUCUCCACCUGCAGAGGUUUCCUGGCCCACUGGUCCUCUGAGGGCCCCCUUCCAGCUCUUGGCCCAUGGGGGAGCCGCUUCCUCAGCUCUGGGUGUGGUGGACAGGAGACCUAGGGGUCCCUGCACCCAGCUGGGCUCAGCAUUUUCAAGCUGAACUUGGUGCGCGGCGGCUUGGAAAGCCGGGAGCCUGCUGCGUGUCUCCUGGGGCUGCUGUGAAAAAAUGACCACACACUGGGAGCCUAAAAUGAGUGACAUUUAUCUUCUCACAGUUCAGGCAGCUGGUGUCCAAAAUCAGUGGUUGGGAGGGUGGAGCUCCCUCUAAGGCUCUGGAUGGCUGCUUCCUGCCCCUUCCAGCCCCGGGCCCUUGGCAUUCCCUGGAGUGCAGCUGCUCCACCCCCAACCCCAAGCCUCCUUCCUGUGUCUCUGUGUCCAAAUUUUCCUUUCCUUUUUUUUUUUUUUGAGAUGGAGUUUUGCUCUUGUCGCCCAGGCUGGAGUGCAACAGCACGAUCUCGGCUUAUCGCAACCUCCGCCUCCUGUGUUCAAGCGAUUCGCCUGCCUCAGCCUCCUAAGUAGCUGGGAUUACAGGCGCCCACCACCACACCCAGCUAAUUUUGUGUCUUUAGUAGAGAUGGGGUUUCACGAGGUCUUUCAGGCUGGUCUCGAACUCCUGACCUCACAUGAUCCACCUGCCUCGGCCUCCCCAAAGUGCUGAGAUUACAGGCAUGAGCCACAGCACCUGGCCAAUUUUCCUUUUCUUUCUCUCUUUUCUUUUUUUUUUUUUUUUUUUUUGAGAUGGAGUCUCGCUUUGUCGCCCAGGCUGGAGUAAAAUGGCGCAAUCUUGGCUCACCGCAACCUCUGCCUUCUGGGUUCAUGCAAUUCUCCUGCCUCAGCUUCCUGAGUAGCUGAGACUACAGGCACCCGUCAUCACACCCGGCUAAUUUUUGUAUUUUUUAGUAGAGACGGAGUUUCACUAUGUUGGCCAGGCUGGUCUAGAACUCCUGAUCUCAAGUGAUCUGCCCGCCUCGGCCUCCCAAAGUGCUGGGAUUGCAGGCGUGAGACACUGCACCCGGACAAUUUUCCUUUUCUUACAAGAACACUGCUCACACUGCAUUCAGGGCCAACCCUAACCCAGUAUCGCCUCAUCCUGAUUUGAUUAUAGCGGCACAGACCUUGCUUCCGAGUGAGGCUACUUUCUCAGGUACUGGUGGACAUGAGUCUUCGGAGACACUGCUCAACCCACAGCACUCCUCCAGCUUGGUUUCUGUGACUUGUCUUCCCCAGAGGAGGGGUGCCCUGAGAGGUCUCCACUCCCUGACCGGCUCCUUGGUGCCGCGCACUCUGCGAGGCUUCCCAGGGAACAGAGCACACAGGACCACCCUCCUGGGCAGACCAAUCAGCAUCUGAGCUCACAGUUUCCCAGCAGGGCUGUAGGGUGGAGAGAGAAGCCUGGGCUGGGCUGGGCUGGGGAAGCUUCUCUGGGGAGGGGACGUCAGAGCAGGAUCUGGGGCUGAUAAAAGCCCACCCCUGGGUAGGGGCAGAGUGGGGCAGGGGGCUGAGCCCCACACGUGGGGAUGGAGGACAGGCUGUGGGAGGGUGUGAACCGGAGACUGCUUGAAGGGGUGCUGGGGACUUUGAGAGAGGGUGGCUGGCCCUGUCUGGUCGGGGAUGCUGGCCCAGACACAGGCCAUGGCUGGGAUGGGGUUCAGGAACAGGACCGCUGCCUCUCCCGGGCCAGGGCCCUCCCCAGCUGCUCCUGGCUUUCCGGUUCUUGGGGUUGGGGGCGGGCCUGUGCCAUGACCCCGCCACUGAGGCUGUGAGGAGGCUGUGGGUGCCCAAGGGCACCAAGGCACACCCCUACUCUCGCACCCCAUGUGUGGGCCCGAGCACCUGUUCUGCUGCCCCAAAGAUCUGGAGAGGUUUCCCAGGCAACUGUCUCUCACAGCCUGUCUGCCUGGCACUCCCGUAUCCCAUAAAUGCCACCACAUCUGGCUAUGGGCGGGCACGCCUGCCUGGCAUCCACGGGCCAGCAGGUGUGGCGGAGCACAGCCCACUUCCUGGCUGCGUCAGAAGGCUGCCAGGGCCUUUUGGCUGUCCUUGCCAGCAGGCGAGCACUGCCAGGGCACUGUGCGUGGGUGCUGGGCCAUUCUGCCAUGUGGGAAGGGGUGGAGGCAGCCCAGUGCCUUCAGCAUGUGCCUAGGGUGCCUGUCAGCUACAGGUCUCACUUGGAAAUUGGGAGGGUGCACGGCCACCAGGCUGCUUAGGCCUGCCAGCCUCAGGGCCUGUCACCGCUGUCUUAGCCUGAUUUGCAGGGUGUCAGCGCUGGGCAGAGAUGAUCAUUUGGGUGACUCUGAGGAUGCCAGUGGCUGGGACACUUGUUCUUUCGCGGUGGAAGGAGUUGGAGAGGGCUGGUUCCCUGACCUGCGGCCAGCCUGGCUUCUGAAACCAGCUCAGUGGGCUGGGGCCUGAUUCAUCAUCCAUAAAUGCGUCCUUUUAUGCCACAGUGGGUAAGGGGCCUCCUAGCCCACCGGUCUGCAGGUGCGGGAGUAGGAGAUGGGUGGCUCUGAUGCCCCCACCCACUCGAGCAGCUUCUGCUCUGCCUGGGAUGCAAACUCCCACAGCUGAAACAUUCUUUUGUAAACAUGAAUUUUGGCUUAGAAAAAACUCAUUUCCACAGUGCACGUGUCAGUCCCAACCAGAAAUUAUUUUCCAAUAAAGCAAAACUCCCUGUCACCACAGCA
This is a long non-coding RNA of Pongo pygmaeus (Bornean orangutan), 4306 nucleotides long. RefSeq lists it as uncharacterized. The transcript has 3 exons. NCBI's taxonomy places the organism in Eukaryota, Metazoa, Chordata, Mammalia, Primates, Hominidae. The record is from RefSeq and is a predicted model, not a curated record.